RNA transcript from Xenopus tropicalis (tropical clawed frog), 2144 nucleotides. It is a transcript of the gene named serine/arginine-rich splicing factor 1, with no coding region annotated. The transcript has 5 exons. NCBI's taxonomy places the organism in Eukaryota, Metazoa, Chordata, Amphibia, Anura, Pipidae. The record is from RefSeq and is marked provisional.
GACGUGACGUCAAGCACAGGGUAUAGAAAGCCCCCCUAUCACAUACAGAGAAGCAGCUUGAGCUCAGGUUUCUAGUAUAAAUAUUACCUCAGUGAAUAGAUUCUUUCUUAGGGCCGUAAUUGGCACAUAGCUUUAGGAACAUUGCAUCGUGAAGACGUGGAAACGAGAGGCUCUAUAUUGUCUCGGCGUAAGAUUACCUUUGUUGAGGACGCACCACUGCGAGUUCUUAGUAUCCUUGCGCGGCUAAAGCAAGGGAGGAAGUAACUCCGCCAUCUUGUCCAAGCUCUGAAGCGCGCAUCGAAGGUCUGUUUGGCUUCCAACUCCAUUUCUUUUUCUUCUCAAUCCGUCUCCCUUUAAAUCCAUCAAGCUGGAUAUGUCAGGGGGCGGCGUGAUUAGGGGGCCGGCGGGUAACAACGAUUGCCGUAUCUAUGUUGGCAAUCUGCCGCCAGACAUCCGCACCAAGGACAUUGAGGACGUUUUCUACAAGUAUGGGGCCAUUCGGGACAUAGACCUAAAGAACCGCAGAGGGGGCCCGCCAUUCGCCUUUGUGGAAUUCGAAGAUCCAAGGGAUGCAGAAGAUGCUGUCUAUGGUAGAGAUGGCUAUGAUUAUGAUGGCUAUCGCUUGCGUGUUGAGUUUCCAAGAAGUGGGCGAGGAGCUGGAGGCAGAGGUGGUGGUGGUGGUGGCGGCGGCGGAGGAGGAGGUGGUGGAGGCGGCGGCGGCGGUGGUGGUGGUGGCGGCGGAGGAGGAGCUCCCCGAGGGAGAUAUGGACCUCCAUCAAGACGUUCAGAAUACAGAGUGGUUGUGUCAGGGUUGCCUCCAAGUGGCAGCUGGCAGGAUUUAAAGGAUCACAUGCGUGAAGCAGGUGAUGUAUGUUAUGCCGAUGUGUUCCGAGAUGGUACUGGAGUUGUGGAGUUUGUGAGGAAAGAAGAUAUGACAUAUGCAGUACGGAAGCUGGAUAACACUAAAUUUAGGUCUCAUGAGGGAGAGACUGCCUACAUUCGUGUUAAGGUAGAUGGUCCAAGAAGUCCCAGCUAUGGAAGAUCGCGGUCACGCAGCCGCAGUCGUAGCAGGAGCCGUAGUAGAAGCAACAGUCGCAGCCGAAGUUACUCUCCAAGAAGAAGCCGUGGUUCUCCACGCUACUCUCCUCGCCACAGCAGAUCUCGCUCUCGUACAUAAAUGAAAAACACGUGAUGCUUUUUGUAGACCCUCAUGUUGUAUACAGUUUUCUUUACUUUCAUUUUUUUAAGUCACUGUUUUAUUCAAUUUUGCCGAAGUGUUGAAUCCUUUGUGUAGUAUUGCCAUCAGACUGGCUCCUUAAUGCCCUCAUUUCCCUCAUGCCUAAAACUGUAUUUUAACUGCUAGAUUCUUCCAGUUUAGCUAGCCACUCUUCAGAGGCACCAGCUGGUGUUUACUAUGGUUAUGGCACUGUGGGUUUUGGUGGUUGAUUACCAUACAUUCUAACUUUUUUUUCCUGGGGGAAUUCUUGUUUUACCUUGCCUUUUCAUGUGUCUUUCUGUAGACAUAUCUGAAGAGAUGGAUUAAAGGAUUGUGGAGGACAUUUCAAUCAUUUUAGGAUUAUCAAAUGGAGGCUUGAGGAGGAUCAGAUCAAAUAUGGAGGCCAUGGUUUGGAUUGGAGAGGGCUCACUGGAUCCCAAUCCUGGAGCUGGAUCAUUGGAUUCAAAUCAUAGGAAUGAAUAGGAUAGGGAGGAUGAAUAACCAGGAUUCAUGGAGCGGGAUCAGAUAACAAGGAACAUAGGAGUGGAUUCCUGCCCCAUCUAAACCGCAUUCAUGUGGAAUUUUUAUUUUUUCACAUCAAUUGGCUAUUCCAUAGAAUUUUUUUUUUUUUUUCCUACGAGUGAAGCCCUUAGGAUGCAAGAAGGAGCUUGCUUUUUUUUUUUUUUUCCUUUGUGUGUUAAGAGCAAAGAGGAGACCUGAGGCACGCUGGAGCCAUCUCCUGGGAAGGAUACCACACGAAUAGAUGGUAAACUUAAAGGGCUAAUGGGUGGGAAUAUAAAUUAAUCCAUUCUUAAAAUCUAAAUUUGAACAAAUGGGAGUAAAAAAAAUAGUUGACACCCCCCCCCUCCCCUUCCUGGCUGCAUUUUUUAAUUUGCUUUUUGAAACAAAAAUAAAUGGAUAAGUAAUA